This 72-nucleotide transfer RNA is filed under the name Bos taurus (domestic cattle). It matches the Rfam family "tRNA". Rfam says of the family: Transfer RNA (tRNA) molecules are approximately 80 nucleotides in length. Their secondary structure includes four short double-helical elements and three loops (D, anti-codon, and T loops). RNAcentral also lists the same sequence under 4 other names. The record is from Rfam by way of RNAcentral. Lineage: Eukaryota; Metazoa; Chordata; Mammalia; Artiodactyla; Bovidae.
ACCCUGGUGGCUCAGAUGGUAAAGCGUCUGCCUGCAAUGCGGGAGACCCAGGUUCGAUUCCUAGGUUGGGAA